UACGCAGGGGGCUAGCGUUGCUCGGAAUCACUGGGCGUAAAGGGUGCGUAGGCGGGUCUUUAAGUCAGGGGUGAAAUCCUGGAGCUCAACUCCAUAACUGCCUUUGAUACUGAGGAUCUUGAGUUCGGGAGAGGUGAGUGGAACUGCGAGUGUAGAGGUGAAAUUCGUAGAUAUUCGCAAGAACACCGGUGGCGAAGGCGGCUCACUGGCUCGUAACUGACGCUCAUGCACGACAGCGUGGGGAUCAAACAGG
Molecule: ribosomal RNA, 253 nt
Filed under: uncultured bacterium
Lineage: Bacteria
Description: partial 16S ribosomal RNA
Rfam family: Bacterial small subunit ribosomal RNA
Source: RNAcentral